GUAAUCGGAAUGAGUACACUCUAAAUCCUUUAACGAGGAUCAAUUGGAGGGCAAGUCUGGUGCCAGCAGCCGCGGUAAUUCCAGCUCCAAUAGCGUAUAUUAAAGUUGUUGCGGUUAAAAAGCUCGUAGUCGAAUUUGUGUCCCGCGCCGCCGGUUCAUCGCUCGCGGUGUUAACUGGCGAGUUCGCGGGACGUCCUGCCGGUGGGCCUAGCUCUUUCGGGGGCGGCCCAAUCUCAAUCCCACCGCGGUGCUCUUCAUUGAGUGUCGAGGCGGGCCGGCACGUUUACUUUGAACAAAUUAGAGUGCUUAAAGCAGGCUAAAAUAUCGCCUGAAUACUGGUGCAUGGAAUAAUGGAAUAGGACCUCGGUUCUAUUUUGUUGGUUUUCGGAACCCCGAGGUAAUGAUUAAUAGGAACGGAUGGGGGCAUUCGUAUUGCGACGUUAGAGGUGAAAUUCUUGGAUCGUCGCAAGACGAACAGAAGCGAAAGCAUUUGCCAAAAACGUUUUCAUUGAUCAAGAACGAAAGUUAGAGGUUCGAAGGCGAUCAGAUACCGCCCUAGUUCUAACCAUAAACGAUGCCAGCUAGCGAUCCGCCGACGUUCCUCCGAUGACUCGGCGGGCAGCUUCCGGGAAACCAAAGCUUUUGGGUUCCGGGGGAAGUAUGGUUGCAAAGCUGAAACUUAAAGGAAUUGACGGAAGGGCACCACCAGGAGUGGAGCCUGCGGCUUAAUUUGACUCAACACGGGAAACCUCACCAGGCCCGGACACCGGAAGGAUUGACAGAUUGAGAGCUCUUU
RNAcentral lists this ribosomal RNA (796 nucleotides) under Parachorius sp. 'longipennis'. RNAcentral describes it as "SSU rRNA". It matches the Rfam family "Eukaryotic small subunit ribosomal RNA", at positions 505 to 1260 of the family's 1831-position model. Lineage: Eukaryota; Metazoa; Arthropoda; Insecta; Coleoptera; Scarabaeidae. The record is from RNAcentral.